Non-coding RNA from Meleagris gallopavo (turkey), 1487 nucleotides. The record is from RefSeq and is a predicted model, not a curated record. Lineage: Eukaryota; Metazoa; Chordata; Aves; Galliformes; Phasianidae.
AAACAAAACCUGCAAACCUGCCAAAGUUUGAAAGGGAGAAAUGAUCAGUUGGGAAAUGAAAAAAUACCACAAAUGCAGGGGGAAGCAGCCAAUUAAGCAGGGCUGAUGUGAGAGUGUGUCUAGAGGCAGUGGAGGUCACUCCUGAAGGUGUAGCAUGAGCUACAGUGUCAUGUAAAACAGAGUGACAAAAGGAUGAUGACACCCCUGAAGAUUUGUUCCCCUGCUUCAUCUUCCUUUCUGUCUUCAGUCCUUCCUACACAAGUAACUCUUGUUCUUCUGGAGGCCAUCUGCAGAGUCUUGUGACUAAGCAAGAUCUGACUUGAUUUUUUUCUUCAUUGCUUGUGGGGUAAUCCAGAGUAAGUGCUUCUAUCACUGAAUAGAUUGUGUUUUAAUUUCUUAAUUAAAAGCUGUAGAGUACUGGGGACAAAGUCUUUAAGAAUUUCAGGUAAGUUGACACUGCUAAUGAUGGGAAAAAUGGUGAGAACUUAGCACUCCCACCUUCCUGUGCUAUCACCUUACUUCUGCUGCUGCACGCGUGCUCCAGGCAAGCUGAACUGAAGCCAUGACAGAAUUCCUGCUUUUGCUUAACUGAGUUGCAGACUGGGAAUACUGCAUCUGCUCCAGGUCAACUCCAAACAGGAGGUUUAGCUGAACAAAGCACCAACUUAUCACUUCCUACAUCUCAGUUCACCACAAAUCUUACUUUCAGUGGACAACUAUACUGAAGAUGCAGAAUGGAACUGGAGGUUUCUGGCAAGCUCAUGGGAACAGACGGCAGUUCUGACACCUGGUUAUCUUGGUUGUAACCUUUGCCUGUUCGUGGGUCUUAGAGGUUCAGCAGAAGUCUACAGCUGUGGAACAGUCUGCACUAAAGAGUGUCAUCACUGGAGAUGACAAUGCAAUGUGUGUAUGAGGGACAGAGAGGUAAAGAACAGACCGAGAGAUGUUCCACCUCCAAGUCUGAGAGGCAGCUUCUCUAGCAAACACAGCAAAACUGCUUCCUUCCGUUGUCCAGUGACAGCUACCCAGGAAGAACAGAACCAAACGUACUCCACUACUUCCUUAACCUGUUAUUGUCUCUAGUGGCAUGAGAUUUCUAUAUUGUUCUGCUAUUACUAAGCACGUUUCUAUUAAGAUGAUCCUCUGAGCCAAAUGAUAAAACAGCCAGAAUAGCAUUUGUGUAACUUUCAGAUUAACAACCUGACACACCUUUUGUUCUUAUGCUGUGGAUGUUCAUACUCUUCCUCCUUCCCUUUUGGAGCCGAAAGCAGUUGAAUUUACUUUUCUUGUAGAUAAGAAUGCAAUUUUCAUGUUAUGGACAGAAGAAGGAUGCUACAAUACGUGGUUCACAGCAGUGUAUUUUAUCCUCAAAUUUAGAAGUUGUAUAAAGGUGUUUAGAGGUGCAAAAAUACUUGUUGAGGUUAGCGACAGUCCAUUAGUAUGGAAGAUGUGCAUCAAAAUAAGAGAGUUAAUGUUUGUUUGGCAUC